RNAcentral lists this ribosomal RNA (270 nucleotides) under Triticum aestivum (bread wheat). Its description in RNAcentral is "partial small subunit ribosomal RNA". The record is from RNAcentral. Lineage: Eukaryota; Viridiplantae; Streptophyta; Magnoliopsida; Poales; Poaceae.
UAUCUUCGUCGCGGAGUAAUUCUUACCAAACGUAACCUUAUUAAGAGAAACUGGCCUGGAAAUACGCAAUGUGUCUUUUGUCAGCAUGAUAAGACAAUAAAAUAUUUGUUAUUCCAAUGCAAAUGGGCUCGUUCUAUAUGGCCAGUCAUCCAAAUAGCUUCUGGCUUGUAUCCUUCUUGUAGUGUUACUAAUAUAUUUGACAACUGGUUACAUGAGAUUGAUCACAAGUUAAGAACUCUUCUUAGGGUGGGAGUGCUUGUCGUUAUUUGA